RNAcentral lists this ribosomal RNA (141 nucleotides) under uncultured eukaryote. RNAcentral describes it as "partial 18S ribosomal RNA". It matches the Rfam family "Eukaryotic small subunit ribosomal RNA", at positions 1299 to 1458 of the family's 1831-position model. The record is from RNAcentral.
UGGUGGAGUGAUUUGUCUGGUUAAUUCCGUUAACGAACGAGACCUCAGCCUGCUGAUUAGAUAACCAUGACUUCUUGUCAUGCUGUUAGCUUCUUAGAGGGACUUUGUGUAGCCAGCGCAAGGAAGUUGGAGGCAAUAACA